AGAAUUAUCGGUAAGUAAAUUCUUAUUUUUAGAAAGGUGGGUGUCCUAGGUCUAAUAUUUCUAGGUUAUACCAUGUAGUGUGAUAUAUGGCUUGGCGUAGGGAGGUUUUGACAGGACUGUCUAGUGUUUGCACAUAAGGGAGCCAUAUGUCAAAGAAUUUUGUUCUCCUAAUCUAAUAGCAUUUCCAACCAUUCCAUAUGGAAGAGGUAUGAUAUUCUUGGCAAAAAUAUAGCUAUGGAUAGUGAAUCUGUAGCUAUCCAUUGGGACAGUAUUGUUUUUUUUCCUGCUGCUGCUAUUUUGGUUAGUAAUUGGCGUUUACCGAUCGGCAGCUUAGAGGCAGGGUGAUAUAAGUGUAAGUCCCACAUAACCCAUUCCGGGGAGACAUCUAAGUUGAGAUGCAGUUUAUCUCUAACAUAUGUUUGAAUUAGGUUCCAGAAUUUACGUACUUCAAGGCAACUCCACAAACAAUGAUAAAUAUCUGCAUCUAUCAUGCCACACUUAAAACAUUUGGAGUCAGAGGCUGUUCCCAUUUGGAACCGUAGUUUUGGUGUAAUGUAGGAUCGGUGUAGGAUUUGAUAGUUCAUUUCUGCGUAGGAUGCUGAUAUAAGGGUUUUAUUAAUCUUAUUAAAGGCCGUAAGCAUGGUGGAAACAUCAAUGGAUGGGAUGAUUUUUUUUUUAACUGCCUGUCAAUCAGGCAGAGGCCUUUGCAGUUAAUGCGACUCAGUCGCAUUAUCUGCACGCGCAGUAUGGGACCUGAAUAACCCCCCAGUUGGGUUUGUUUACAUUGGGGCUAUGGCAACAGAGGGAAUCAUUAUCUGAGAACAUGCUGCCGCCAUGGAUACAAAUAAUGUCACAUUCGAUCAUCGUUAGACACUGGAGCACCUGUUGAUAAUUAGCAGAUAAGUGGAGGGUGCUUGGGUGUUUCAUGUGUGUAUAUAACAGACUGUGAAAUCACUCUAAUCAACACCAAUAAGAAGAUUUAUACAGAAGGGUAUAUUCAAUUGGUGACAGUUUUCAGAUUCAACAGCAAUCGACUGUCGAAACCCUCCACCCGGUACCCUGAAUCUGAUAUAGUCAAUACAAAAUGGAUUCGACACGUCUCCGGUCGAAAAUGGACCAAUGGUCGAAUAGUGGGUGGCCUGGAUUCGACUUCCCGCACUUCUCUUUACACCGGAGAGGGUACUUUGGCCUUGGGAGGGCUACUCCAUGAAACCUGUGGAAGAGAAAAAGGAUUAAAUUCAAGGAACUUUAAAGCGUGUCAUUCCUCCUGAAAAAGAACAGCAGCAGGUACCAGCAACAUUGCACAAACAUACAGGGUACACCGACAAAUAUGGAGGCUGGGUCCCUGCAUCUCGCCUGAAGGGUCUCUUUGUAACAUGGCGGUGGGGGAGGUCCACAUCACAAGUAGGCCGUCCAUGGAAGAGGGGGACUUAAGCAGCACUUUACCCCGGAGAGGGUACUUUGGCAUUGGGAGCACUACUCUGUGAAAACUGUGGAAGAGAAAAAGGGUUAAUUUCAAGGUACUUGAAAGCAUGUCAUCCUUCCUGAAAAAGAACAACAGCGGGUGCAAGCAACAUUCCACAAACACACAGGUUACACCGACAAGAGGGAGGUUGCGCCCCUGCAUCUCACCUUAAGGGUCUCUUUGUAACAUGGCGGUGGGGUGUAACAUGGCGGUGAGGGAGGUCCACAUCACAAGUAGGCCGUCCAAUGUAGAGGGGGGACUUUAGCAUCACUUUACACCGGAGAGGGUACUUUGGCCUUGGGAGAGCUACUCCGUGAAAACUGCGGAAGAGAAAAAUGUUUAUUUCAAGAUACUUGAAAGUGUGUCAUCCCUCCUGAAAAAGAACAGCGGCGGGUACAAGCAACAUUGCACAAAUACACAGGUUACACCGACAAGAGGGAGGUUGGGCCAAUGCAUCUCACCUGAAGGGUCUCUUUGUAAUAUGGCGGUGGGGGAGGUCCACAUCACAAGUAGGCCGUCAAUAGUAGAGGUUCACUUUAAACAUAACGCGAUUCAAAAAAGGGGUAAACACACCCAGCGGUAAACAGGAAUCCAAAAGGGGUAAACACCCAACUGUCAACUCAACAACGGGAACCCAUCAACAUGAUGGAACUUGUGGAUCAAACUGUCAACAGGACAUAACUCUGGAAUAAAAACAAAACAAUAAAGUCACAAAUUAAUUUAAUCAAAAAUAUGACAUACUGAUUUUACAUGAAAAUACAAAAAUUGCAAGUAUAUUAACAGAAUGAGGAAAAAUAUGUCUGUAUUAAAUGGCUUCUAGCUUCAUCUCCUUCGUCCAUACCCACAGGUGGAGCACAACAUGCAUUAAGUAUGCCGCAAACCUUCGACGGUGAGUGUAAAAGAGCACCACCGGAAGAGUCUAUACUUCGAAACCGGCUUUUAAGUACACCGAAGGCACGCUCAAUUACUCCCCGCGAUGUAUUGUGUGUCUCUUGGUACCGUUCUUGGGCUUCACCUACAGGAUUUGGUUUGUUCGGAUAACCCGCAUCGCCACUUACAGGCUGUGCCAUGUGGGGUAAGAGCACUCGCCUGGCUGCAAUCCAUCGUGCUUUAUGCAAGUUUUUAAACUUUCUGACCUUGUAUUUUACUACCACUCUCACAUUCUUUUUGGAGAUUGCUGAUAUUAUUUAAAAUGCAUCUUCAAGACCAUAUCAAGGUCAUGCAGAUACUGUACUUAACAUAAAUCAAACAAAUUCAAGCGUAAAAAAGAAAAAAAUGCAUUGUUAAAUACAAGGCAGAAAUUGAAGUUAAAAUAUCACCCUGAAAACCGAAUUUGGAGAGGAGCUGGUGCAUGUCGAUCGAAUGCCUUCUCAGCAUUGAGGGAAAGGAGUAGCACUUUCAAUCGUGUAUGAGUGGCCCAUUCAGCUAAGUCAAGAACCUUACACGUAUUGUCUAGGGCCUGAGAUCACAAUAACAAAACACACCUGUCGGCGUGAAUUAGCUGGGGGGGGGGGGGGAACAAGAGAUUAAGAUGGUUGGCAAUCAGCUUAGUGUAUACUUUCACAUCUGUAUUUAGAAGUUCGAUAAGUCUGUUUAUGCAGUCACUAUGGUCCUUGCCCGGUUUAGGAAUAGUGAUAAUCUGGACCGACCAUUUCUGUUGGGUAUGCACCCGUAUUGGAAGCUUCAUUGCACAAUUGCAAGAGAAUCUAGAAUCCUGCUUUAAAAUAUUUAUACUUUGAAAGUAGAACACUAGAUGCAUUUAAAAAGUGCCAAUUUUUUCAUUUAUAUUUGUAAAUAUACACACAUUUGCUAAUGUUGACAAUAUGUGCACUACAUCCAACAAACUUUGUUUGGCUAUUACCACAUAAUGAACAGUGGGGCAGAUGUGUUAAGCCUGAAGAAGUGAUAAAGCAGUGGUAAGUGAAAGGUGAUAACGCAACAGCCAAUCAUUACGAAUUUGAAAAAUGACAGAAGCUAACUGGCUGGUGCGUUAUCACCUUGCUCUUAUCACUUUAUCCCUUCUCAAGGCUUAAUACAUUUGUCCCAGUGUUCGUCAACCUUUAGUAUGCAUAUUGUGCAAACGGUACCAUGCAUCUGGAAAGUACUCACAGUGCUUCACUUUUUCCACAUCUUAUGUUGCAGCCUUAUUCCAAAAUGGAAUAAAUUCAGUUUUUCCCUCAAAAUUCUACACACACUACCCCAUAAUGACAACGUGAAAAAGUUUUUUGAGAUUUUUGCACUGUGGCCUCCAUCAUCUGUAAAUGGAAGAAGUUCAGAAACACCAGGACUCUUCAUAGAACUGUCUGAGAAGUGCCCUAGUCAGGGAGGUGACCAAGAACCCGAUUGUCACUGUUAACCCGAUUGUCACUCUGUUAGAGCUACAGCAUUCCUUUGUGGAGAGAGGAGAACCUCCCAGAAGGACAACCAUCUCUGCUUCAAUCCACUGAUUAGGCCUGUAUGGUAGAGUAACCAGAUGGAAGCCACUCCUUAGUAAAAAGCACAUGGCAGCCUGCAUGGCGUUUGCCAAUAUGCACCUGAAGGACUCUUUAAGACCAUGAGAAACAAAAUUCUCUGGUCUGAUGAGACAAAGAUUGUACUCUUUGGCGUGAAUGCCAGGCGUCAUGUUUGGAGGAAACCAGGCACCGCUCAUCACCAGGCCAAUUCCAUCCCUACAGUGAAGCAUGUUGGUGCCAGCAUCAUGCUGUGGGGAUGUUUUUCAGCUGCAGGAACUGGGAGAUUAGUCAGGAUAGAGGGAAAGAUGAAUGCAGCAAUUUACAGAGACAUCCUGGAUGAAAACCUGCUACAGAGUGCUCUUAACCUCAGACUGGGGCGACUGUUCAUCUUUCAGCAGGACAAUGACCCUAAGCACACAGCCAAGAUAUCAAAGGAGUGGCUUCAGGACAACUCUGAAUGUCUAGUGGCCCAGCCAGAGCCCAGACUUGAAUCCGAUUGAAUAUCUCUGGAGAGAGGUGCUGCAAAGAGGAAUGGGCGAAAAUGGCCAAAGAUAGGUGUCCCAAGCUUGUGGCAUCAUAUAAUCAAAAAGACUUGAGGCUGUAAUUGCUGCCAAAGGUGCAUCAACAAAGUAUUGAGCAAAGGCUGUGAAUACUUCUGUGCAUGUGUUGUUUUUUUUAAAUAAAUUUGCAAAAAUUUUUAAACGUUUUUCACGCUGUCAUUAUGGAGUAUUCUGUGUAUAAUUUUGAGGGAAAAUGAAUUCCAUUUUGGAAUAUGGCUGUAUCAUAACAAAAUGUGGACAAAUUGAAGCGCUGUGAAUACUUUUCGAAUGCACUGGAUGUUUUAGAAAACAUUAAGGUAUCACUGAUGUUUCUAUUUGUUUCCCCGUAGCUGCUGCUUCUAGGACACCGUAUCUGCUAAAAAGAUGGCGCAGUGAGAUAGUCGCACAGGAUGCUGGAAAACGAAGCAUUUGUAAGAGAUGAAGAAUACUUGUGAAAUUUAAAGUCCUCGGUUACACAGAUUAAAAUUACAAUGGGAUCUUCGGUAUCAUCUAAUGGGAUCAUGGAUAAGCAAUUCUUCCAAGAUAAAAUAGAGGGAUUUAUGGUGCCAUUAGUGAAUAAAUAUUACCCAUCUCAUCACAGGAUAUUCCAAGACAAUGACCCUAAACGCACACCACCAGAAUUAACCAAAUUCAUUGAAUAAUCUACAUGUACUCCAUUAUCCCUGUAAUUCCAUGUUGUUUGGCUACUACUAUGUUCAUUCAUAUUUAUGCACCAAAUUUAUGUAGUGAACUAUGUUUGAACUGUUUUAAUAAAUCUUAUAUAUCGA
This is a long non-coding RNA of Pseudophryne corroboree (corroboree frog), 5245 nucleotides long. RefSeq lists it as uncharacterized. The record is from RefSeq and is a predicted model, not a curated record. The transcript is spliced from 4 exons. NCBI's taxonomy places the organism in Eukaryota, Metazoa, Chordata, Amphibia, Anura, Myobatrachidae.